Long non-coding RNA from Monodelphis domestica (gray short-tailed opossum), 1320 nucleotides. The record is from Ensembl. NCBI's taxonomy places the organism in Eukaryota, Metazoa, Chordata, Mammalia, Didelphimorphia, Didelphidae.
UGGAGGGAUUUUUAUUUUCUCCUAAAGGCAAAAGGGAGCUCUGCAGGUUCUUGAAUGGAGGAGUAACAUAGACUUGUGUGUUUAAGAAGGUUAUUUUGGAGGGAAAGAGCAGCCGAAGUGGGAUCUGAACUCACAUGUUUGGGUUACAAAUCCAAUGCUGGUUUCACUGUGCCAGGAGAAUUUAGCCAAGUUUUGGAGUCUUGCCUUCUUGCAAAAGGUAUCCUUCCUGCCCAUAACGUUUUGGCGCCCAGAAGAAAGAGGCAAACCCCAGGGGUACACAUUGAUCCCUAUAAGAUUUUGACACCCAACGUUUUUGGCUCUCCUGAAAGCUACUCCUGUACUCCGGAUCAUCCACAAGGACACAGCUUCUCAGGGGCUGACUCUCCCCUUGUGACCUGUCUGCCCAUCAGGAGAAACAGUCGCUGGACAUCCUUCAUAUCUCCAAGCAGAUUCCCAGCUACCUAGGACCCAAGCAUUCACAGCCUUUCCUUCCCUGCUAUCUUAACUCCUUUUACUUUAGCUCUUAACUACCUGACCAUAACUAUUUCUUUCCUUAAAUUUUGGGUCUUCUCCUAUGUUUUAAAUCAUGCACACCCAGCCAGCUGGACAUAUAAUUCUCUGAUUCAUCUUUUGAGUUACUUCUAGGGUAAAAGCACUCAUGUGAAUCCAGAUGCCAGAUGCCACCAUAACCAUCCCAGCCUGACGCUCUGGACAUGGCCUACAGGCAAUACCUCUCUCUCCAAAUGGAUAGGCAGGGACAACUCUAUGCCCAUUAUCAGCUGUGAAGAAGUUACAGAAUACAGAGACUACCGUCCCUUUUCCCUUACAUAUUAGGAGAGGGGGAAGAUGACAUGGACACUGUACCCCCCAGAAACCCAGGCAAACUAUUAUCAGGGAAACUCCCUCGCUCCCUUGCAUCCUUAUGACUAAACCUAGAAACACCCAAUGACCCCACCUGGGGUCCUGAGAUGUUCAGCUUCUUUUGUCCUCUAGAUUUAAGAUGGACAAAGAGAUGAAUCUUUAUGCCUCCAGGCAGGCCCCAGUCAGAUGACCACUUCACCCCACCAAAUGCCUGAGGGACUAAUACUCUAAGUCACAUCCACACCAGGACAUAGCAUCUAAAGAGUAUAUAAACCCUAGAACUGAUGUAGUCUGGGGGACAGCCUUUCCACCCAUGCUGUCCCCAUGGAGGAACAGCCUUUCCAUUCAUGCUGUCCUCCCAGGAACUGCUCCCAUCUUGCUGUUCCACCUUACUAUCCUCCUGGCUAUUCUCAACAUUACUUUCUAAAUUAAUAAAUUUCUCUUUUUGUUUUUAAGCCA